GGGCCUGUAGCUCAGUUGGUUAGAGCAGAGGACUCAUAAUCCUUUGGUCCACGGUUCGAGUCCGUGCAGGCCCA
This 74-nucleotide transfer RNA is filed under the name Pseudomonas pohangensis. It matches the Rfam family "tRNA". From Rfam's summary of the family: Transfer RNA (tRNA) molecules are approximately 80 nucleotides in length. The record is from Rfam by way of RNAcentral. Lineage: Bacteria; Pseudomonadati; Pseudomonadota; Gammaproteobacteria; Pseudomonadales; Pseudomonadaceae.